This 203-nucleotide long non-coding RNA is filed under the name Hordeum vulgare. Its description in RNAcentral is "long non-coding RNA (HVUL_LNC012811)". The record is from RNAcentral. Lineage: Eukaryota; Viridiplantae; Streptophyta; Magnoliopsida; Poales; Poaceae.
UUUAGAGAUUUGGUACAUCGCUUAGUUUUAGGUUGUUCAUUGUUAGGGUAGUUUAACGUUGUGGUGUAGUUUUUGUUUGGGUCUAGCAUUUCAUUCCUCUCUGCUCUAGACACUAUGUUUACAUCUUCUUAUGGUUGUGCCAUGUGGUGUAGCCUUUCUUGUACUCAUUUCAACUUCUUCUAUCAAUGGAAGAUACAUAAGCU